UACGAGGGGUGCUAGCGUUGCUCGGAAUUAUUGGGCGUAAAGGGUAGGUAGGUGGUCUCAUUUGUCUGGGGUGAAAGCCUUGAGCUUAACUCAAGAAGUGCCCCGGAAACGGUGAGACUAGAGUCCUGGAGAGGGUCGUGGAAUUCCCGGUGUAGCGGUGAAAUGCGUAGAGAUCGGGAGGAACACCAGAGGCGAAGGCGGCGACCUGGACAGGUACUGACACUCAACUACGAAAGCGUGGGGAGCAAACAGG
Molecule: ribosomal RNA, 253 nt
Filed under: uncultured bacterium
Lineage: Bacteria
Description: partial 16S ribosomal RNA
Rfam family: Bacterial small subunit ribosomal RNA
Source: RNAcentral